Molecule: non-coding RNA, 32 nt
Filed under: Homo sapiens (human)
Lineage: Eukaryota; Metazoa; Chordata; Mammalia; Primates; Hominidae
Source: RNAcentral
CAUGGACCUUACUUUAUACCAGCAAGAUGGAA